This 434-nucleotide ribosomal RNA is filed under the name uncultured Blautia sp. RNAcentral describes it as "partial 16S ribosomal RNA". It matches the Rfam family "Bacterial small subunit ribosomal RNA", at positions 341 to 792 of the family's 1533-position model. The record is from RNAcentral. Lineage: Bacteria; Bacillati; Bacillota; Clostridia; Lachnospirales; Lachnospiraceae.
ACGGAAGGCAGCAGUGGGGAAUAUUGCACAAUGGGGGAAACCCUGAUGCAGCGACGCCGCGUGAAGGAAGAAGUAUCUCGGUAUGUAAACUUCUAUCAGCAGGGAAGAUAAUGACGGUACCUGACUAAGAAGCCCCGGCUAACUACGUGCCAGCAGCCGCGGUAAUACGCAGGGGGCAAGCGUUAUCCGGAUUUACUGGGUGUAAAGGGAGCGUAGACGGACUGGCAAGUCUGAUGUGAAAGGCUGGGGCUCAACCCCGGGACUGCAUUGGAAACUGUCAGUCUUGAGUGCCGGAGGGGUAAGCGGAAUUCCUAGUGUAGCGGUGAAAUGCGUAGAUAUUAGGAGGAACACCAGUGGCGAAGGCGGCUUACUGGACGGUAACUGACGUUGAGGCUCGAAAGCGUGGGGAGCAAACAGGAUUAGAUACCCUGGUA